Ornithodoros turicata is the source of this 262-nucleotide long non-coding RNA. RefSeq lists it as uncharacterized. The record is from RefSeq and is a predicted model, not a curated record. Lineage: Eukaryota; Metazoa; Arthropoda; Arachnida; Ixodida; Argasidae. The transcript is spliced from 3 exons.
AAGUAACGCUAAUGGUGCAAAAGAAAGGAAUCGGGAGCGGAGGUACAGCAGAUGAAGCGUUGCCUCAAGUUGUCCAGUGCGAACCUGAAGGCCACAUUGACAGCUGCGACAUGGAGCUCCCGUGCCCACAUAGAGAAGAAAGUGCGCAACCUGAUGUGUCCUCACUAAGUGAACUACAAAUACAAUACCGGGAAGGUUUCCAGGAAGCCGCAGCGACAAAUUCUUGCAACACACAGGAGGCUGCAUCUGAAGCACUGGAGGA